GGGCUCGUGGUUUAGUGGUAUAAUACUCCCUUAGCACCGAGAUGGCUGUUCAGAGCAACAUCCGUGUGAGCUUUGGGAGUGGUCCGGGGUUCGAUUCCCCGCGAGUCCA
Molecule: transfer RNA, 109 nt
Filed under: Hypoxylon rubiginosum
Lineage: Eukaryota; Fungi; Ascomycota; Sordariomycetes; Xylariales; Hypoxylaceae
Description: tRNA-Ala
Rfam family: tRNA
About the family: Transfer RNA (tRNA) molecules are approximately 80 nucleotides in length. Their secondary structure includes four short double-helical elements and three loops (D, anti-codon, and T loops).
Source: RNAcentral